GGCGCAGCUGAGCCGGAUCCGGAGGGGAAGCCCCCCGGGUCCCAUAUAGCUGAGCCGGUAGGGAGCCGCGCUCCCGAGCCAUGUGGCGCGAACAGAGCGCGCAAACAGGCGCGCUCUGUAAGAGCACGCCGGCGUUUGCGCAGGCAUUCGUGCCGGCGGGCGGGCUGGGAGGGCCAGGAGUGGGACUCCUGUAGGGGUAGGGUGUAGACACCGCACAGGUCUACAAACAGCAGCUUAUAGAAUGGUGUCUACGAGGAGUGCUGCUAGGGCCUCUGCCCAGGGGGGCAAGGCUACCUGGGGCAGGUCUGAGGCCUCCACCCAGACCGAGCCCAUGGGGGAGCUGAUGUCCCUCUACCUCCUGGCCUGUGGGGGAUCCCCAGCAGGGCUGGGGGGGGCAGAGAUUGGGGGCCCCCACACCUGUCCGGCAGGUGCCCGUCUUAGGGCUCUGGAGGCGCAGGUGAGGGAGCUCUGGGAGGAGGUUAGCAGGCUGAUGGGGAUCAGGGAGGUGGAGGAUGAAAUUGACAGUUAUUUCCUUUCCCUGCAGGCCCAGGCACCCAAGGAAGAAGCAGCCCGGGAAGUGCCCUCCGCAGCAGAGUGGCAGACGGUCACAGCCAGGACCAGAGCAGCUCGCAGCGAACCGGUACCAGCUUCUCCAGUCUGACUGGUGAACAGAUCAAGAGAUCCACGAGGACCCAGAGGAGGAGGCGACGAGUGCUCAUCAUAGGCGACUCCAUCCUGAGAGGUACGGAAGGACCCAUCUGUCGCCAGGACCCCUCGGCACGAGAGUGACCGGACGAGGAAGACGGCAGGAGAACUGCAUCUGAGAAACCAACUGGUGGCUUCAGCAGUGGUGUCUUGAGGCAGGCUUCGGCUUCCUGGACAAUGACCCGCACAUCGCGACGAGGGACAUGCUCAGCUGGGAUGGGCUUCACCUGUCCCCCAAAGUGUCCCUGGCUCAUUGGCUGUGAUUCCCAUAUUUAAAAGAAGAAACCAAAGAAGAGAUUCAAUGUCAAGUGCUUAAAAGACUGAUAAAAUCAAUCAUCUCUAGCAGUGCCUCAGUGAGAAACUCUUUGACCUCCAUGAUGAUUUUGACACUACCAAUCACUGGGAGAGCUUCAAGGAAGGUUUUCAUGAGGUGUAUCAAGAAUCUCUAGGCUUCUCCAGCAAGAAACACCAAGGCUGGUUUGAUGAGAAUGAAAGGGAAAUUCAAGCUUUCAUUGAAGGAGAGCCUUCAAAACUUGGCAGAAUUACAUCAGCUCCAAAUGGAAGCAAGACAUUUACCUCAAUCAGGGCUUGUAGUAGGGAUGAUAUCUUUUAUUAGACCAACAAGAUUUUUGCAAAAAAAAAAAAUUCUUUAAUUGUUGGUCUAAUAAAAGAUAUCAUCUCUACUAUGAGCCCUGAUUGCUUUUUCCUCUAGAGCAAUACGGCUACAACCUGCAUACGAAACAUUUAUCUCCACACUAAAGGUAAGACCCAAAGGAAAAUUCAGGAGAGAAAGAAAAAGUGGUGGCAGUACAAAGCAAAACAGAUUCAAGAGCUUGCUGGCAGCUUUAACAUGCAUUGUUUCAUCAGUGCAGCCGAAGCUAUUUAUGGGCCAAGUACACACAUGUCCCUCUGAGUUCCAAGGGUGGAAAAACACUCUUUAAAGAUAGCUCCACCAUCAAUGCAUGGUGGAAGGAGCACUCUCAUAAACUCCUGAGUCAAGACAAUACCAUCAAAGCCAUUCUAUAACAUCUCAUUAAGGACUACUUUGAAGAUCCAUCGAUUUAUCAAGAAGCAUUGAAACCCAUUAAGCAGAUGAAAAACAAGACACCACUUCCAGCAUUGAAUCCAUGUUCAUAUGGUACCAGCCCUCUUGGACAGGGCAUGUCAUAAGGAUACUUGACAACCAGCUCCCCAAAUAGGUCCUAUACUCCCAACUCACUGAUACUCACUGCUCUAGCAGUGGACUUAAAGGAAAGAUUAAAGGAUACCUUGAAGGCCAUUCUGCCAAAAUGCAGUAUUAACAUCAGUACUUGGGAGACACAAGCACUGAAUCAUCCCUAAUGACACUGUGAUCAGCAAUCAUUUUGAGCAAACUUACUUCACUAUGGAGGUGGAUAGUCAAGAGAGAAAAAGGGAAAGAGCUGUGACCUGACAUAACCAGCAUCUACUUCUUUCUCCUCAAAUUAUUUACCAUGUGUGCAGUCAAACAUGCAGAUCUUGGAUUAGCCUCCACAGUCAUCUAUGGAUUCACUGAUGACCUCUCUAUUUACUGGAAGACUGUCAUCCUCAUAUAAAGGGAUUGCAAAGGAUGGCUUUUAAGACCUCAUGGUAUCUUGAUCCUCCAGGGAAUAUACAUCAUGAACUAUUCACAUUGGGAAAGAGUUCACAGCUCCCAGAAAUCCUACAUAUGUUCAUAAGAUAUCCACAGUUCAUGCAGUCUGCUUUAAAGUAGUGAGCAAUGUAUUGUCAGCCUCAGCUCUCACUCAAAAUGCAUUAUGUUCAGGUGUGGCCCCCUCCAGUGUAGAAAGAUAUUAACAAACUAGGACAGUUGAGAAAAGAGCAACUAAUACACUAUGAAAGCUAGGAGACUGUCCUUCUAAAGAGGACUAAAUGCUAAUUAUUCACAUCUGGGAUCAGGAUGUUUUGUAGGAUAUGGGAUUAUUUUCAAAAAGUAUUAAGUGAUUAAAGCAACAAUAUUUCAGCUAUUUUUUCUGUCCAGCUCAGUGAGGCCAAUAGGUUGAGUGAAAGCACUUCAAAGUAGAAUUUAGUUCACAGAGCUAUGAUUUAUUUAUGCUAGUACAAAAGGUCAUAAUUUGGGUAAUAAAGUAAAAUUUUAAAAGUAUAUUUUAGAUAAGUGUGUUAUGAAACAAAUAACACUGAGAUGUAGAAUAAUCUUCCGAAAAGAAGCGAAUCUCUAUUGCUUGGGUAGGAUAGAAUCUUAAAAAUGUAUUACAAGGAACUAUAUCUCAGAUACAAUGAUGAUGUAGAUGAUCCACCUGGACUUCUUCAUUUCUGUGUCUGUGACUACAGAUGUUUCAUGUAUUCAAAGAUAGUCUUUACUUGCAUCAGUCUAGGACUAUUUGUGCACAGUUUAACAUAGGUUAUUUUAAUGAAGACAGAGUUUUAAUUAAGACAGAGUCCUUGUUCCCACUGGAGGGUAUGGUGACAUUUUCACUUAAUUCAGCAGAAGCAGGUCCUUAUACAAUUUGGUGUUUCUGUGGGCCUAAAGAAUUGUGUGUGAGAAUUAAAACAAUGCAAAAAUCCUUUCUGAAGUCAGGUAACUGGAAAUGAAAAACAGAAUCAAACACUUCACCUGUGCAAAUAGAAAAUGAAGCUGCACAGAAUCAUUGUUUACUGCCAAUACUUUAUUUUCACACAGGUGAACUUUACUCUAAAAGGGAAAGCUGACUCGAUCAAGUUGCUUUUGGAAACCCUAAGCACUUCAAAGUGAAUAACGUAUAAGUGUAAAUCAAUAGAGUAAUGACAUGAUACUUUUCAAGGGUAUUUGAUGCCUUUGCAGAUUCAAUUCAGAAAGCUACCUUACAAAUUCUCACUCAUCCUUGUUGCAAUUAAUUUUUGAAUGUGUGUACCUUGAUGCUUAUCCUUUGUACAUUAUAUAGUUAUUUACCUGUAUAAAUAAAUAGUGACUAGUGAUACUGAAUGGAGAUGGCAUAGUGCUUUUAACACUAAGACUUUUGCAAAAGAGCAGUUUGUAGACUAUGAAAAACUUCAUCCAAAUCAGUCUUGUUUAAAUGACAGCUGGCUGCCUCAGGGGUGGGGGAAUUAAAUAUCUUUUAUGGAGUAUGUAUUUGGAAAUAAAAUUCAAAUGUAAUAGUCAAAUAUUCAUUUAAAUUUUGUACUGGAGAAGCUGCUUAUGAUAUGGAUAAGGUGACAAAUGUAGGUUUGAUCAAUUGGCACUUUCUUGCUCAAGUCAUCUGCCUCUUACCUACAUCCCAAAUCUUCUCUGCUUGGUCUGACAGCAUAAUUUUACUUCUUUUCAUUUUUCUUAGCAUUGCAGAAUAGGUGUCAUAACUUUUUAAAUUAGAUCUCAGCUAGUAUUUGUUUUGCCUAUUUAUUUUAUCAAAUGCUGUUUAGUGUUAUUUCAUGUUUUUUAGCUGAGAAGAAAUGAGACUUGCUUGUGUCAUGUCUUAUGUCACUUUCACGAAGGAAAAUUCUGGAAAUCUCUGUCAAACUAAGAAAAAAAUCACUACUAUCUGGAACUAGCUGUUGGCUGGUCUGAAUAAUUAUUUCAAAUAUAGUAGUUCAGGACUUCUUUGACUCUGCCUCUUUGAAUUUAUUCCCAACAAACAUACAUUGGAUAUAGCUAUAGAUGUAAAAAAUUAAGAUGAUAUUUUUGGCAUUUACUAUACACUCACUUAAUUAUUAAAACAUUGCUUUGAUUUGAUUUCUAUUUGUGAAUAGAAAUUUGUGUGUGAUGACUACAUCACACGUGUGAUUACUCUUGCAAAGGACAUCCUCCAAACUCAACUGAACUCAUGAAAUACUUCAGUUGACUUAAAUGGAUUUGGUAUAAAAGCCUGAAGAAUGGCUUCCUCAGCGUAUGAUGAAAUGGAAAGUCAAAAAAGCAUGUAGUAAUCCUAUUGUAAAAGGAGCAUUUUCACCUUUAGAAUGCAAUAAAGCAAAAUAUUUCUUUUAACACAAUGAUUCUGCAAAGCAGUAUUGGAAAAUAUUGUCAUGUGAGGAUGAAAAUUGUCUAAUUGCAUUUGUAAAGUAGAAUUUUUUAAAUGUUUUGUGAAAAAAAUACCAGGAUUGUUUUUAUUAUUAACACCAGCACUUCUUAGCUAGUAAUUCAUGUUUGAAUAUUGAUUUCCAUUUUCUUUUUUAAUGAAGAAACACUCCCUGUCUUUGUAUAUUCCAUGCUGUUGCUAACCUAGAUAGCGAUUUUGAUAAACUAAAUGGAGAUUAGAACAAACAACAGAGAUCUUACUCAAAAAUGUUUAUUGUAAAAAAAGUGGCUAGAAAACAACGUAACAAAUUUCACUUCACGCUAUCUUCAAGUUAUCUAUAGAUGCAGCCAUAGGUAACAUUUUGCUUUCAUUCAUAACACAUUCAAUCAUAUAAAAAUAAAAAUAUUUACAUUAUGUCCACAUACUUUACAAAAUCAUUAAUAAAAAAGGCACUUGGAGGGGAAUUGCUGAACAUAUUGCAUUUCCUUUGUGCAUUAAAAAAAAAAUUAAAAUUCAUU
Alligator mississippiensis (American alligator) is the source of this 5191-nucleotide long non-coding RNA. RefSeq lists it as uncharacterized. The transcript is spliced from 4 exons. The record is from RefSeq and is a predicted model, not a curated record. Lineage: Eukaryota; Metazoa; Chordata; Crocodylia; Alligatoridae.